GGUGGCUCAGUGGUAGAGUGCUUGCCUUGGCAUGCAUGAGGCCCGGGGUUCGAUUCCUCAGCACCA
This 66-nucleotide transfer RNA is filed under the name Dipodomys ordii (Ord's kangaroo rat). It matches the Rfam family "tRNA". From Rfam's summary of the family: Transfer RNA (tRNA) molecules are approximately 80 nucleotides in length. Their secondary structure includes four short double-helical elements and three loops (D, anti-codon, and T loops). Further hydrogen bonds mediate the characteristic L-shaped molecular structure. tRNAs have two regions of fundamental functional importance: the anti-codon, which is responsible for specific mRNA codon recognition, and the 3' end, to which the tRNAs corresponding amino acid is attached (by aminoacyl-tRNA synthetases). tRNAs cope with the degeneracy of the genetic code in two manners: having more than one tRNA (with a specific anti-codon) for a particular amino acid; and 'wobble' base-pairing, i.e. permitting non-standard base-pairing at the 3rd anti-codon position. The record is from Rfam by way of RNAcentral. Lineage: Eukaryota; Metazoa; Chordata; Mammalia; Rodentia; Heteromyidae.